AGCUUAUUGUUAUAAUUUAUAAUAAGUUAUUUCUGCCCUGUGAAAAUUUUUAACGGCCGCAGUACUUUGACUGUGCUAAGGUAGCAAAAUAAUUAGGCUUUUAAUUGGAGUCGGGAAUGAAAGAAAUUAAUAAUGAUAUACUGUCUUUGUUUUACUUUUUAAAAAUUACUUAUAUGGUGAAAAUUCCAUUAAAAAAACCAAAAGACGAGAAGACCCUAAGAAUUAUUAAUCUAAGUAAUUAUUUUACUUUUUUUUUGUUGGGGCAACAUUAAUUAUAAAAAUUAAUUUUAAAUAUUUUACCAAAGAAAAUUUAUUUAAUAAGAAAUAAAUUACCUUAGGGAUAACAGCAUAAUUAUUAUUAUAGAUUAUGACCUCGAUGUUGGACUAAGGAAAAUAUAUAGUUAGCCAUUAUAUAUACAGGUUCUGUUCGAACUAUUUAUCCUUACAU
This 448-nucleotide ribosomal RNA is filed under the name Tornatellides sp. HLS20002. RNAcentral's name for it is "partial 16S ribosomal RNA". The stretch from base 1 to 145 matches the Rfam family "Archaeal large subunit ribosomal RNA", at positions 1908 to 2097 of the family's 2987-position model. The record is from RNAcentral. Lineage: Eukaryota; Metazoa; Mollusca; Gastropoda; Stylommatophora; Achatinellidae.